Long non-coding RNA from Mytilus californianus (California mussel), 392 nucleotides. RefSeq lists it as uncharacterized. NCBI's taxonomy places the organism in Eukaryota, Metazoa, Mollusca, Bivalvia, Mytilida, Mytilidae. The record is from RefSeq and is a predicted model, not a curated record. The transcript is spliced from 2 exons.
CACUUUUUUACACCAUAAUUUCAGGACGUGUGGAAAGAUUUAAUAGGACAGUUGUUGCAUACUUUAGAUCCCAAUUUGUUGACACAAGAGAUUGGCCAAGUUUACUUUGAGAGUUUUAUUACAAAUAUAACAACAGAGUGAACAAAUCUACUAGACCAAUGACACCCCAUCAAAAAAUUUUCAAGAGGCCAAACUUUUCAAUGGCAUUAGAAGAACAGGUUGCAAAGUGUAAUUUAACUAAAGAGGAAAAAGAAUUUUUAGAGAUGGCUCACGUGGAUGUAGAGGAAGAUUAUGACGACAACAAUAACUUGACAUUAAACAUAAUAAAUAAAAACUUAAAAUCAGUGAAAAUUAAUGGAAUUACUGAUGCAGAACCCGGGGUUGUUAAUCAG